CUACGGGCUGCUGCAGUGGGGAAUAUUGGACAAUGGGCGCAAGCCUGAUCCAGCAAUGCCGCGUGUGUGAAGAAGGCCUUCGGGUUGUAAAGCACUUUUGUUAGGGAGGAAAGUCUGGUAGCUAAUAACUGCUAGAUCUGACGUUACCUAAAGAAUCAGCACCGGCUAACUCUGUGCCAGCAGCCGCGGUAAUACAGAGGGUGCAAGCGUUAAUCGGAAUUACUGGGCGUAAAGGGUCUGUAGGCGGAUUAUUAAGUCGGAUGUGAAAUCCCCGGGCUCAACCUGGGAACGGCAUUCGAUACUGGUAGUCUAGAGUGUGCAAGAGGAUGGGGGAAUUCCUGGUGUAGCAGUGAAAUGCGUAGAGAUCAGGAGGAACAUCAAUGGCGAAGGCACCUUUCUGGGGCAACACUGACGCUGAGAGACGAAAGCGUGGGGAGCAAACAGGAUUAGAUACCCGCGUAGUC
RNAcentral lists this ribosomal RNA (464 nucleotides) under uncultured bacterium. RNAcentral's name for it is "partial 16S ribosomal RNA". It matches the Rfam family "Bacterial small subunit ribosomal RNA", at positions 339 to 795 of the family's 1533-position model. The record is from RNAcentral.